CUCCCUCCCUCCCACAGCCCCCUCCGUCCCUCCCUCCCGCAUGCCUCCUCUCCUCCCACCCACAUCGCCGCCGCCACCACCCACCUCCUUGAACGGCGCCGUCGGCGGCCAGAUCCACCGCAACAAACCACCCUCCCCCCCAACAACGAUGAGCAGCAGCGGAGGGAGGACGAGGAGCACGACGACGGCGGCAGCAGAGAGCAGCAGCAACAGGCGGCGCAGCAGCAGACCUUGGGCAAGAUCCAUCUGUUGCGCUCGUCCUCCAGCGGCCACCAACACCGCUCCGGCGCCAUCAAGGCUCCUCCGACGCCAUCAAGGGUGAGGAGGGUGAGGAGGAUGACGCCCAGCCAUGGAGCAGCAACAACGCAAUGUCAAGGGACAAACCUCAGCCAUGGGGCAGCAGCAACUCAAGCUCAAGGCCUCCCUCUACCUUGAUUUACUUUAACCAGGUUCUGAAGAGCCACUGUUUGUUCAAUUCGUCGAGUCUUCGACCGUCCUGCGGACUGCUGCUAAGUCGAGAUGUUGCAAGGCUUCUGGUCUGUAAGCUCUUGUUUUUUCCUUCCUAUCUAGCAGUCAAAUAUAUGUGGAUUGGUUGUUAUGUGCGGCUUCAGUUGUUUCUUAGAUGUGUUGGCUGCUCAUAUCUGGCUAAUGUUUUUUUUGAUGCAUUAGCUUCUCGAGGCUGGAUAUGGUCUGAUUCCUUUGAUGGAUUAGGGGAUCUACUUGGAUCCUUUGAAUUUUUUGUUGCCAUGUGGGAGGCUGGGCUGCAUGUCUAGAUUCCUGGCCCUUCUUUUGUUCCUUUCUGAAUUUGUCUGCUGCUUAUGGGUUCGGCGUGGACUAUUGUCAUUGGCUUGGUUUAAAAUAUUUUGCCAGUCUCACUAUUGGUUUGGGCUGUCCCUGUUUUAGGUUUUAUCUUAAGGAUUAGUCGUUGGAUUAUGUUAGUCUCAGAUGUAUGGCCAUAUGAAUUAGUAACUAAUUAUGUUAGGCUUAGAUGUAUGGCCAUUUGGAUUAGUAACUGAUUAUGUUAGGCUCAGAUGUAUGGCCAUUUGGAUUAGUAACUGAUUAUGUUAGGCUCAGAUGUAUGGCCAUUUGAUUAGUAGUUGAUUAUGUUAGGCUGAAAUGUGACACACGCUUAGGGCCAUUUAUAUUAGUACCUAAUUUGUUCUUUGGCUUAAGAAGCAGUUGGAUGAAUCACAUGGCUGGCAAAUUGUAGGUGUUGUGCCUGUCAUGGUUGCUAUUCGGUGGAUUUAGGAAGCCAUUCUUAGGUGCUUGAUUGGAGCUUGUUAAGUAAAGGGGGUGAGAUGGGUUGUGUUGAUUGAUUGAUUCAAGAUCUGCCUGGUCAUUUGUUUUUGGGAUCAGACAUCUCACACGUUGGUUGAGGGAAUGGUGGACCAUCAUGGGCUCGAUUUGUUUCUGUUCGAUUGGGGCUUGCAAAAGAGAGGUGCGGGGCAGGCUGCUGUUGGAUUAUGUCUCCUUGUGUUAUUUAGAUGUUGUCUUUGUCCAUGUGUUUUGGUUAGUCUCUGCUUCGUUGUUUGCGUUGGGGAUUAGAGAAGUUUUAUGGUUGGUUAAGAAGAUGGGCGAUCUAUUAAUGUUGUGCUUGCAGUUGUUUGGAUCAGGGUGUUGUUCUUAGGUGCUAGAUUUUCAUUUGGUCCUUGCUUAGCCAUGUAAUCAUAAGAACGAAUAGGUCACAUGGUUGAUUAGAAAAGAGCAUCAAAGGUAUGGGCUUAUUGUGGUUUCAAUCCUGUCAGCUGAAAUGUUGUUCUAGGGUGCUAAAUUAAUUUGGCUAUCCAGUAAGCUUCAAGUUUCCACUUUCUAAUUUCAUAUGAGACACCGGUGCUUUCCUAUUGGUUGUUCUGGUCGAUUCUUUUGUUUUCUGAUACUUUGUUUGUUGUGAUUUGAAUGCUACGUAUGUUGAUAUGCUGGUGCUUGUUUGGUUGCCUCGCUUGUGGUUCUAAGAUUUCUUAUUUGCUUUGAUUAUGAUGUUUGUUGGUUGAUUCUGCUACAUCUUUCUUUUUCAGGACUUUGUGUUGUUGUUUUUUAUCAUCUUCAGGCGAGUCAUGCUCUUUCCGAGAAAAGCCAAGAAAGAUCGGGCCCCAAGUCGUGAUCUUCAUCACGUGAUGGCCACACUCGGAGCUCUGCCGCCUCCAACUCCACUCCGUUGAGGUCCUCACGGGUUCGUCAUGCUGGUGAAGUCACCGAUGUUGUCCACGCAAGCACAUAUUAGGUUGUGGCUCUUCUUCACCUAGGACAUCCUCUCGAGCUUCCCCAAGGUGCAGUGUUGUUCCCCGUGGUGUAUGUGUAUGUUCUUCUUGCUGUGUGCAUACCUGAUCCUCUAUUUCUUUUGUCCAUGCUAUUUGACAAUCAACUAUGAAAUUAAAUAAUGCUCUACCAUCUGUGGUAUUUUGUUUCUGUGAUAUGUAUGAAUUUAGUGAUUAUGUAAGUUUGUCGUUGAGAUUUUACUUUCAAGAUGGUUCCAUUUGGAUAUAUGAAUUAACAAGAGAUUACGAUUAGUGCAGACCAGUUGUUCAAAAUAUAAAACUUGAGUUCCUUUCAGUUUACUUAGUGCAUAUAUUAUUCUUGCCACGUUCGUAACUAUCAAUUGCAGCAUUGAUACUGUUAAUUGGAUGAUCAAUAUUGGAUAGGAAAAGAGGUUGUAUGAACUGAAAUAGGAAACAAGCCUUUAGUGCAAAAUGUGUUUGCUCAACUAAUUUAAGCUCAGAGUCUCUCUGUUUUACUAUGUAUCCAAUGACUUCUUUCUUACAUCAUUGGCAUAAUCUUGGAGAUUCAGUUGAGUUAAAAAGAAUCAUGACAUAUGAUAUUUUCCAACUUACCUUUGGACUAGAAAUUAUAUCUCACACAUGUUCACUUUGAUCUUGCAGUUUGCUUCAGCCAUGUUUUACGCAUAUUUCCUUUCACACCCCUUUCAUACAUGGGCUCUCACACAUGCUCACUUUGAUCUUGAAGUUUACCCUGAUGGUAGUAGUGCCUUUGUUAGUUCUUGCAUCUGGUUGCUCCAAUGCCAGUAAAACAGUGUAUGAGCCCCUUUCAGUCUGUAACUGCCAGAGAGCCCAGUGAAAAUGCCUGAGCUCCUGCUGAUAUAUAGGUUUCAAAUGAUGUUUUAUUUUGUGUUCUUUUCUCAAACAUACUACUAUUUUUUUUAUAGAAAUGGGGGGAGGUCGGAUAUGAUAUGAUAUGACAUGUUGAUAUGUUCAUUUGCCGGAGGGUCGGAUCUCAAGGGGCAGAGAUCAGUCCUCCAGAGCUGUUGGGCAGAAGAAGAUGGGUAAGCUCCUAUUGCUCUUCUAUGUUGAUUUAGCAGAAGAAAGAAAAUUAGGAAGAGUAUCUGCAGAUAUAUUUUGAUGCUCUCGGUCUCAUUCAUGAUUUAUCCUAUAGCUAGGUCUCUUUCAUGUGCAUAUCCUAUGUUAGUGCAUCGCCUGCUAGCUGUUGAUUUACUCUUUGUCGUAAAAUGGUUAGAAAAAAUACUUUAUUAUCAUGGUUCUGAUUGUGCACCUUUUUGGCUUAUAAAAAAAGAAUAAUUUUUUGAGCAUCAACAACUGAUUCCCAAGCUGCAUGCAGGUACUGAUUUCUGCCUUGGCUCCAUGCAACGACUCAUUCUUUGUUUUCAUAGGAAUCGUUCGAUUCAAUUUUUGCUUUGUGUGAGGAAUCGUUGGAUUCAAUUUUUGCUUUGUCUUGUACUAAACACAUACAUCCAACUACACAUCCAUCCAACUUUAGAUUCUUAAUCUGGUCUGCAUACUAAUGGGACAUAAAAUAGUGGUCCUGUAGUUAAAUUAUGAUGUCCACUAUUAUUGAUGCCUUCACCUUGAUACCUUAUUGCAGGAAGAGCAAAUUGCAUACUUUAUGAACUAAUUGUCUCGAUUAUAUGGUUGGUGACCAACUAAUUUUCUCAGUCAAGCAGUUACUCUUUCAGCAGUUUUGUACCAUUUGAUUUAGAAGGCGGCUCUCUCUCAUCUACUGAAGAACACACACUGCACUUCUAUAGGCUAAUAAGGUAUGUUCCUGUUUUCAGAAGAAAAAAAUUGUAUCUCAUGUAUGUUGGUCCUCUCGCUUUUUUCCAUGUUUCUGUUGAUGCAAGUAGCAACUACAAACAGUCCCUGUGUGUGAAACUUUUUUUGGCAGUGUUAAUUUAUUAUGCAAAUGGUUGUAGCUUUAUUUAGUAUGGUCUUCUAAGUUCUAACCGUGACUUGGUUUCUUAGAAAGUGAACCUCACAAAUAAGUUAAAACCGACGAUCGUUUCUGGAACAUAGGUACACAAUCACAAGCCCUUAGCAUUAUGUCAGGUGAUCCACCUUAACCCUCUUAGAGACAAAAAUACCGUUUCGUUCUGAGAAUAUAUUCAGACGACAGAAAGUUGUUGUCUAUUUUGUGAAGAGAAUAAUGAUCUGAUUGAAAGGGAAAUAAGUGAUAACUGGAGAUCCUUUGGUUGCCUACUUCCUGAUUUGGAUCUUAACAGUAUACAGUCUGAAUAAGACAGUGGUAAGAGAUGCAUCAAAACCUGAAUAAUUUGUAUCUCUGCACCUUUAGUACUCCUAAUGCUUUUCAAUGGAUGCUUAGUAAAUGGCUUCGCACAAGCGAAACCAGCUGAAACUAACAUGCUGAGAAUACAAGCUCAAGUGUAAGAGUACAAGUAGUGAUCUAAACGCUCUUAUAUUUCUUUACGGAGAGAGUAACAUCUAUUUAUUCUAAGCAUUUUGCUAAAUGACUGCAUGACAUUAAUUGCAAUGUUUUUUAGGCAUCUCAGCUUUUGUGGGUAAAUGGAUCCACGUACAGGUUGACGUUGGGGAUCAUUUGCCUGUACACCAACUAUCUCAUGAUUUGUUUUACCGCUGACUACCAUGACGUGGUCUAAAGACUAAACUUUGAGGAUUUUGUAGAAUUGGCUUGUGUUAAGCAUUUGUACUGUGAUUUUAAACUACUAAUGUGGUUCAUACUAAAACAAUAAUACCAUGUAUCACUUAGUUCUCUGUUUUGUACUCAACCAUUACUAUUAUAUGUGUUUUGCUUCCUCCUCAAGAAGUAUUAUUUUCAUUUUCAUAUAGGGCCUUUAAGAUGGGAUUCCAUAAUUGUUCAUGUUCAUUCCAUAUACUAAUAUAUGAAGUUUUUUUA
Triticum aestivum (bread wheat) is the source of this 5121-nucleotide long non-coding RNA. RefSeq lists it as uncharacterized. NCBI's taxonomy places the organism in Eukaryota, Viridiplantae, Streptophyta, Magnoliopsida, Poales, Poaceae. The record is from RefSeq and is a predicted model, not a curated record. The transcript is spliced from 5 exons.